AUUGAACGCUGGCGGCAGGCCUAACACAUGCAAGUCGAGCGGAUGAAGGGAGCUUGCUCCUGGAUUCAGCGGCGGACGGGUGAGUAAUGCCUAGGAAUCUGCCUGGUAGUGGGGGAUAACGUCCGGAAACGGGCGCUAAUACCGCAUACGUCCUGAGGGAGAAAGUGGGGGAUCUUCGGACCUCACGCUAUCAGAUGAGCCUAGGUCGGAUUAGCUAGUUGGUGGGGUAAAGGCCUACCAAGGCGACGAUCCGUAACUGGUCUGAGAGGAUGAUCAGUCACACUGGAACUGAGACACGGUCCAGACUCCUACGGGAGGCAGCAGUGGGGAAUAUUGGACAAAGGGCGAAAGCCUGAUCCAGCCAUGCCGCGUGUGUGAAGAAGGUCUUCGGAUUGUAAAGCACUUUAAGUUGGGAGGAAGGGCAGUAAGUUAAUACCUUGCUGCUUUGACGUUACCAACAGAAUAAGCACCGGCUAACUUCGUG
Molecule: ribosomal RNA, 484 nt
Filed under: uncultured bacterium
Lineage: Bacteria
Description: partial 16S ribosomal RNA
Rfam family: Bacterial small subunit ribosomal RNA
Source: RNAcentral